CCCGUGCAGUGUGGGUGGUGGCGUUCCGCAGGGUGCAGUCGCACAGUCGGGGCUCCCGCAUCGUCUCGGUGCGCGAACCAGUGGUGGUGUCUCGAGAAUUAUCAGACACGCUAUUAGCAGCUCCCUCUCGCGUUCAUCUCCUCAUCUGUAGCGCUCACGGACACGCCGCAUGACGCCGGCAAAGUGCGCAUCUGCGACACAGCAAAAUAUUCGUUUCGUCUACGAACAUUGUGCUGUGCAGUGAAAGAUUGGUUCUUUACUUCUAGACGCUCAACAGUUUCCAAUUCGACGGAGACAGAUACGACCGCAUGAUUCAAGGCACGAUGUCACAAUCCAUCACGGCCUGGAAGCACAAAGAAUGGGGAACAUUGUCAUCGCAGCUGCUUCUGCAAAUUCGAAACGGAAACGUCGUCUGCCUCCAGACUGAAGCGCGCAGAAGAUGACAUUAUGUACCGUUUUUUUUUUUUUUUCGUGUCUCAGCGCAACACAACUAUCGAAGCCCCGCAAAAAUAGAGGAUGUGAGAAGGCCCGGACCUGAUUGGGCCAUGCGAUGAAACUUUAAAAAAAGAUCGAUGUCGAGGAACAGCCUCUUCGAUGACCCGGCGGCGGCGAGAGAGAGAAAAAGAAGCUAUUUCGGAGUGUGUGCAACAGGCUGCAGCUUGGAAGCAACAGCAAUGGUGGGAGUGACGUCGAAGACCUGACGGAGGAGAUCUCCUGCGAGGGUUGAGGUGUAAAUGAUCGCGCGAGCGUCUCAUCAAGAAAUGGUGCACGGGACCAAAACCGGCAGUAUACUCUGGACAGGAUGUCCACAGGAACUACAGAGAAAGGUUCAUACCUGAGGGCGUCGAAAGCGAUGACGGAACGGAGGAAACGGAACAAUAACCGGACGAAGAUGCGUCUCAUAACCGAAGACAAGCUCUAAAAGCGCAGCUCAAGAAGCGAGCUUCGUGUUAAAUAUCGUUCUGUGGUUUCCAUUGUGACUUCAGGAAUUACAUGGGCGGCGAACCAUACAGCAACGACAUAAAUGUGUAACAGAAGCCAGCAGGGAAGCUGCGUCUAGCUUGUUUAUGUCUUGUAUCAUACCUUGUUUUGAUCCAGUUGCCGUCUCCUUGUCGCGUUACUCUCAAACCGUUAGUCUCCGCGCGCUCCUUAGCCUCGUUCCCAGCGACGACACAACAGGGUCGGACUGCCAAAAUCGCUCUUCCCAUUGGGACGAAUACUGGUGGCCGCCGUCUUUCAUGAGUAUGACCGACGAUAACGUAACAUUCCAUAUAGCUGGUCAUCCCGUAAACAUCUGAGUAGCGUAUCAACGUUCAAAAGAUCAAUGAAAAAGAAGAUUGCUUGCUUCCGCGUGCGACAUGCACAGUUGUUCACGUGAGGACUGCUGGACUAUGCGAUAUCUGUUCUACACGGGUUCCGGGAGAAAAUGAACCGGAACGAAAUGAACACGAAACGGACACGGGAAAAUGAAGGAACUUUGGAAACGGCAGUCCACACGAGCACAGUUCCUGUGACUACCACGGGGUGGCAGCACUAAUGGCGGCGCCCAUUCCUCGAGUCGCGUUUUUGUGUAAUACCGUGUGCCCAGAAAACGUACCCCGUGGAGGUACCCUAUAUUUGCGUCACUCUUUCGGUACGUCAUAAUUUUAUAGAGUUCAGUGAAGUUCAGUGAAAGUUCAGUGAAAGUUCAGUUAGAGUUCUACAGAGGUCCCUUAAGGGCGGUUUGCAGAUGGUACGGAUUGGAGGAGUUUAGGGUUGUCAAAGGACUGGUUUUGGUAAAUACAAAGAAAAUAAUUUAAAAAAAAAGAAAGAAAAGCAUUAGCCAAAGCAUCUUCAUAUUAUUUUUAAUCUAAUCCAGUCCAAUCAAGAGCAAAUGCACAUAUCAACAACAAGUAAACUAUUUGAGCACAAGGAAGUGACGCUGACGUAGUAUAGCCUAAAUUACUAUGACCAAUCAGAGUUGCCAAAUUUAGCCAGUAAGACUCCUGCAGCGAAACUGACUAGCAAAAGUGUGAGAUAAACAACUGGCGAGAUUAAACACCCUAAUAUGAGAAGUCUAAUAGUGAGUUUUAUAGAGAGUCUGUAGAAUUUGCAACGGACGGCUCAUAGGAGCGACAGGUUAAAAGGUUUAUAGGCAAUCAAGUAAUUUAAUUAAGGUUGGCGACUGUCAUUUUGGAAGGGAAAAAAAAACUGGCUGCAUCUUCGGGAAUUGUACCCAAAGGCGUAUAAAAUAAGGCAAUCGUUGGCCAUAUAUUUUUGGUCAGUGUCACGUGGUCCUAUAUAAAGCUAUACUGACGGGGAUCUACACAAUGGCCCUAUAUAGCGCUGUCGCUUUAACAAUCGCUGAACAGUAGAUAAGACAGAAAAAAGCGAGGUCCCUAGUGUCGUACGAAGUCAAAUCAACAGGUUUCAGUUUUAAAAUAAACGAGCAUUUAAAAAACAAAGAAUUCCACCUUGUGGAACCCACUCCACAAUACAGCUGGUGUUCUCACCUCGAAACUCACAUUAAACCUUUAUUCUACAGAGCCCCCUCAAAAAAUAAAAAAAAAAACAAUACCUACGAUUAGAGUAACUCUAGUGACCUCUGCAACAGAUUACCGAGUUAUCUCUCUUUGUCAAAAUUGCUCGAUCCAUGGCCAAAUCCGGCCCACCAACCCUCUGCCCUCAAAGCUCUUCUGGCCUUUUUGGACACCGCAGGGCUUCGCGGUCGUCAGUGUGAGGCGACCCAUUAUUACCACAGCAUUACCACCAGCAAUGGGGUGAGAGCAUCGCCCCCUGGCGAUGGGAUUCCUCAAUCAUCAUCAUAAAAUAAAGUUGUUGUUGUUACUGAUUUAAGUGUUUUACCAUUCAGUAUAGAAACGGGCGAAGAGAACACUCCCCACUCUUUCCAAAUUGCCCCCAUCAGAAAUGGAAUAACAACUUCGAAGAACCAUCAUCAUACAGACGAUUAACGUCGGUUAAAUUGUUGGGGAAGCGCGUUGUAACGUUAGACCGAUUCGGGCUUCCGAAGAUUUGUUGAAACGCUCAGGUCUCGGCACUUACAACAUACCUCACAACAAUGUUCCAUUAAUAGGAAUUGCACCUCGCUGUAGUUUUUGUAGUUUUUCGGCGGCCGCCUCACCUGCGCCUGUUCUAUUUGUAAUCAGGUUCUCGAAAGAACAACAAAAUUACCAGCGGAGGUGUGGCUCGCUAAGUGCAGGCACAGAUAGUGUGAUUGUUACAAUGACGCGUUGAUGCUAAUGACGAACCAGUACCUUUAUACUGGGUUCACUCAUUUUGUACUUUGUGCGUGUUCUGCAGAUUGUAUUUAUUAUACUUGGAUGUAAGACAUAGGGUUAGGUACCGGCUACGCGCCAGCACAUUCAAGAUGCCUUGUUCUUGUAGUUGUAGGGUUCUACUGAGACAAAUAAAUAUUGAUACUU
Ornithodoros turicata is the source of this 3422-nucleotide long non-coding RNA. RefSeq lists it as uncharacterized. The record is from RefSeq and is a predicted model, not a curated record. NCBI's taxonomy places the organism in Eukaryota, Metazoa, Arthropoda, Arachnida, Ixodida, Argasidae. The transcript has 4 exons.